UCUGAACUUAAUGACAAAACCGUUAUUGACCCUACAGGGGUUAGUAACAAAUUUGAUGGGCUGACUGCUCAGGAAAUCCAAGUUUACAGAAUUUUGGAUGAAAUCCUGGGAUUUCAGUAUGCUGGAUGCUCAGUAUUCAGCCUUCAUUAGCUUCUGACAGAUGAACCAAGAGCUGCAUUAGGAACAGGGGAGAUAAGCCUUGAUUUCUAGGCUUGUUUUCCAGCCAUUAGACAGCACUUAUCUUUAAUGUGAAGCUCCUAGUUUUAGAGAUUGGACUGAUGACAAUCGUUUGUUUUGUUUAGGCUUUUUUUUUUUUUUUUUUAAAUAUUGCUGGUAUUUCUGUGUUCUACAUCAAAUAGCCAAAACAGCAUGAAUUCUAACAUAAUUUUAUAUUUCUGUUGCUAAUCCCGAUUUAGCCUUGACACAGACAAAUGUGACAUUAAGCAACGGAAGGUGUUGCAUAAACACAGUAAAUACUGCCUCUCCUUCUUUUGGUGGAUACAGAAAUUCACACCAGGGCAGCCAAUUGCAAUGUGCAGUUUAUACUAUGGAGUAUUUGAAUAUUUUAAAAUGUUGAUGAAAACCUUCAAUUGAAAGUGGAAGAAAAUAUUGACAAAUAUGAUAACUUCAAAAGUGUAAGCAAAAUACCAUUUAUUCAGAGUGCUUUGAAGCUCCAUGAUGGGGAAAUCAAAGCAUGCAAUAGCUUUAUUAUCUGUGGGUGGACCCUUUAAACAGAGGUGUUAAUGGUAUCACUAGGUAUAACUCAAUAAUAAGACACUUAUUAUUUGGUAAUAAGAUGCUCCUAAAUUCGUCAAUGCCUCUGUAGAGUUAGAGCUGCUGGCGCAGCUGUGUUCUCCAUGUUCCUUGCAGUUUUGCUUUUCACCUUCCUGAGAUGCGUGUGAGGUCUCUUAUAAGGCAUCUGCUCUCUGUAGAUUGGUGAAUUGUACCUCCUAAGUAACACCUGGUUCAUUAAACAUUUGCAUUCUGUAUGACCCGACUGGGAACAUUUAUUGAAUAAAUAAUCCAUCUUUGUGUGGAUGAGAGUAAGA
Molecule: long non-coding RNA, 1049 nt
Filed under: Numida meleagris (helmeted guineafowl)
Lineage: Eukaryota; Metazoa; Chordata; Aves; Galliformes; Numididae
Description: lncRNA (ENSNMEG00000015214.1)
Source: RNAcentral